This 73-nucleotide transfer RNA is filed under the name Spathoglottis pubescens. Its description in RNAcentral is "partial tRNA-Leu". It matches the Rfam family "tRNA", at positions 11 to 69 of the family's 71-position model. Rfam says of the family: Transfer RNA (tRNA) molecules are approximately 80 nucleotides in length. Lineage: Eukaryota; Viridiplantae; Streptophyta; Magnoliopsida; Asparagales; Orchidaceae. The record is from RNAcentral.
CGAAAUCGGUAGACGCUACGGACUUAAAAUCCGUCGAAUUUUUCAAUCGUGAGGGUUCAAGUCCCUCUAUCCC